UCUAACGAAGGGGUAAUACCCGGAGACCUGGUGGAGGGGCAUCUCUUUGCCAGCAAAGGAGUUCCGCUCGGGGAGGGGUUCACGUGCUAUUAGCUAGUUGGCGGGGUAACGGCCCACCAAGGCUAAGAUGGCUAGCGGGUGUGAGAGCACGACCCGCGCCACUGGCACUGAGACACUGGCCAGACUCCUACGGGAGGCUGCAGUCGAGGAUCUUCGGCAAUGGGCGCAAGCCUGACCGAGCGACGCCGCGUGCGCGAUGAAGGCCUUCGGGUUGUAAAGCGCUGUCGAGGGGGAGGAAAACCCGCAAGGGUCUGACCUAUCCCUGGAGGAAGCACGGGCUAAGUUCGUGCCAGCAGCCGCGGUAAGACGAACCGUGCAAACGUUGUUCGGAAUCACUGGGCUUAAAGGGCGCGUAGGCGGGUUCCCAAGUCGGUGGUGAAAUCUUUCAGCCCAACUGGAAAAGUGCCGCCGAUACUGGGAGUCUUGAGGGAGGUAGGGGUCGAGGGAACUGGUGGUGGAGCGGUGAAAUGCGUAGAUAUCACUAGGAACGCCGGUGGCGAAAGCGCUCGACUGGACCUCUUCUGACGCUGAGGCGCGAAAGCCAGGGAGCAAACGGGAUUAGAUACCCCGGUAGUCCUGGCCCUAAACGAUGGGUACCAGACUGUGGACUUGACAUGGGUUCACAGUCGAGGCAAAAGUGUUAAGUACCCCGCCUGGGGAGUAUGGUCGCAAGGCUGAAACUCAAAGGAAUUGACGGGGGCUCACACAAGCGGUGGAGCAUGUGGCUUAAUUCGAGGCUACGCGAAGAACCUUA
RNAcentral lists this ribosomal RNA (814 nucleotides) under uncultured bacterium. Its description in RNAcentral is "bacterial SSU rRNA". It matches the Rfam family "Bacterial small subunit ribosomal RNA", at positions 151 to 973 of the family's 1533-position model. The record is from RNAcentral.